UGAUGCAGCGCACUGAAAAUAU
RNAcentral lists this non-coding RNA (22 nucleotides) under Arabidopsis thaliana (thale cress). The record is from RNAcentral. Lineage: Eukaryota; Viridiplantae; Streptophyta; Magnoliopsida; Brassicales; Brassicaceae.